CCUACGGUGUGCAGCAGUGGGGAAUCUUGGGCAAUGGGCGCAAGCCUGACCCAGCAACGCCGCGUGAAGGAAGAAGGCUUUCGGGUUGUAAACUUCUUUUCUGAGGGACGAAGAAAGUGACGGUACCUCAGGAAUAAGCCACGGCUAACUACGUGCCAGCAGCCGCGGUAAUACGUAGGUGGCAAGAGUUAUCCGGAUUUAUGGGGUGUAAAGGGCGUGUAGGCGGGAAAGCAAGUCAGAUGUGAAAACUCAGGGCGCAAACCUGAGCCUGCAUUUGACACUGUUUUUUUUGAGUGCUGGAGAGGCAAUCGGAAUUCCGGGUGUAGCGGUGAAAGGCGUAGAUAUACGGAGGAACACCAGUGGCGAAGGCGGAUUGCUGGACAGUAACUGACGCUGAGGCGCGAAAGCGUGGGGAGCAAACAGGAUUAGAUACCCGAGUAGUC
RNAcentral lists this ribosomal RNA (443 nucleotides) under uncultured bacterium. Its description in RNAcentral is "partial 16S ribosomal RNA". It matches the Rfam family "Bacterial small subunit ribosomal RNA", at positions 338 to 795 of the family's 1533-position model. The record is from RNAcentral.